Molecule: ribosomal RNA, 432 nt
Filed under: uncultured bacterium
Lineage: Bacteria
Description: partial 16S ribosomal RNA
Rfam family: Bacterial small subunit ribosomal RNA
Source: RNAcentral
ACGCACGCUUGCGGCAUGCCUCACACCUGCCAGUCGAACGAGACCUUCGGGUCUAGUGGCGCACGGGUGCGUAACGCGUGGGAACCUGCCCUUAGGUUCGGAAUAACUCCCCGAAAGGGGUGCUAAUACCGGAUAAUGUCUUCGGACCAAAGAUUUAUCGCCUUUGGAUGGGCCCGCGUUGGAUUAGCUAGUUGGUAGGGUAAAAGCCUACCAAGGCGACGAUCCAUAGCUGGUCUGAGAGGAUGAUCAGCCACACUGGGACUGAGACACGGCCCAGACUCCUACGGGAGGCAGCAGUGGGGAAUAUUGGACAAUGGGCGAAAGCCUGAUCCAGCAAUGCCGCGUGAGUGAUGAAGGCCUUAGGGUUGUAAAGCUCUUUUACCCGGGAUGAUAAUGACAGUACCGGGAGAAUAAGCUCCGGCUAACUCCGUG